RNAcentral lists this ribosomal RNA (1372 nucleotides) under uncultured bacterium. Its description in RNAcentral is "bacterial SSU rRNA". It matches the Rfam family "Bacterial small subunit ribosomal RNA", at positions 28 to 1381 of the family's 1533-position model. The record is from RNAcentral.
GAUGAACGCUGGCGGCGUGCCUAAUACAUGCAAGUCGAGCGAACGGACGAGAAGCUUGCUUCUCUGAUGUUAGCGGCGGACGGGUGAGUAACACGUGGAUAACCUACCUAUAAGACUGGGAUAACUUCGGGAAACCGGAGCUAAUACCGGAUAAUAUUUUGAACCGCAUGGUUCAAAAGUGAAAGACGGUCUUGCUGUCACUUAUAGAUGGAUCCGCGCUGCAUUAGCUAGUUGGUAAGGUAACGGCUUACCAAGGCAACGAUGCAUAGCCGACCUGAGAGGGUGAUCGGCCACACUGGAACUGAGACACGGUCCAGACUCCUACGGGAGGCAGCAGUAGGGAAUCUUCCGCAAUGGGCGAAAGCCUGACGGAGCAACGCCGCGUGAGUGAUGAAGGUCUUCGGAUCGUAAAACUCUGUUAUUAGGGAAGAACAUAUGUGUAAGUAACUGUGCACAUCUCGACGGUACCUAAUCAGAAAGCCACGGCUAACUACGUGCCAGCAGCCGCGGUAAUACGUAGGUGGCAAGCGUUAUCCGGAAUUAUUGGGCGUAAAGCGCGCGUAGGCGGUUUUUUAAGUCUGAUGUGAAAGCCCACGGCUCAACCGUGGAGGGUCAUUGGAAACUGGAAAACUUGAGUGCAGAAGAGGAAAGUGGAAUUCCAUGUGUAGCGGUGAAAUGCGCAGAGAUAUGGAGGAACACCAGUGGCGAAGGCGACUUUCUGGUCUGUAACUGACGCUGAUGUGCGAAAGCGUGGGGAUCAAACAGGAUUAGAUACCCUGGUAGUCCACGCCGUAAACGAUGAGUGCUAAGUGUUAGGGGGUUUCCGCCCCUUAGUGCUGCAGCUAACGCAUUAAGCACUCCGCCUGGGGAGUACGACCGCAAGGUUGAAACUCAAAGGAAUUGACGGGGACCCGCACAAGCGGUGGAGCAUGUGGUUUAAUUCGAAGCAACGCGAAGAACCUUACCAAAUCUUGACAUCCUUUGACAACUCUAGAGAUAGAGCUUUCCCCUUCGGGGGACAAAGUGACAGGUGGUGCAUGGUUGUCGUCAGCUCGUGUCGUGAGAUGUUGGGUUAAGUCCCGCAACGAGCGCAACCCUUAAGCUUAGUUGCCAUCAUUAAGUUGGGCACUCUAAGUUGACUGCCGGUGACAAACCGGAGGAAGGUGGGGAUGACGUCAAAUCAUCAUGCCCCUUAUGAUUUGGGCUACACACGUGCUACAAUGGACAAUACAAAGGGCAGCGAAACCGUGAGGUCAAGCAAAUCCCAUAAAGUUGUUCUCAGUUCGGAUUGUAGUCUGCAACUCGACUACAUGAAGCUGGAAUCGCUAGUAAUCGUAGAUCAGCAUGCUACGGUGAAUACGUUCCCGGGUCU